AAGUCGAACGAACUCUGGUAUUGAUUGGUGCUUGCAUCAUGAUUUACAUUUGAGUGAGUGGCGAACUGGUGAGUAACACGUGGGAAACCUGCCCAGAAGCGGGGGAUAACACCUGGAAACAGAUGCUAAUACCGCAUAACAACUUGGACCGCAUGGUCCGAGUUUGAAAGAUGGCUUCGGCUAUCACUUUUGGAUGGUCCCGCGGCGUAUUAGCUAGAUGGUGGGGUAACGGCUCACCAUGGCAAUGAUACGUAGCCGACCUGAGAGGGUAAUCGGCCACAUUGGGACUGAGACACGGCCCAAACUCCUACGGGAGGCAGCAGUAGGGAAUCUUCCACAAUGGACGAAAGUCUGAUGGAGCAACGCCGCGUGAGUGAAGAAGGGUUUCGGCUCGUAAAACUCUGUUGUUAAAGAAGAACAUAUCUGAGAGUAACUGUUCAGGUAUUGACGGUAUUUAACCAGAAAGCCACGGCUAACUACGUGCCAGCAGCCGCGGUAAUACGUAGGUGGCAAGCGUUGUCCGGAUUUAUUGGGCGUAAAGCGAGCGCAGGCGGUUUUUUAAGUCUGAUGUGAAAGCCUUCGGCUCAACCGAAGAAGUGCAUCGGAAACUGGGAAACUUGAGUGCAGAAGAGGACAGUGGAACUCCAUGUGUAGCGGUGAAAUGCGUAGAUAUAUGGAAGAACACCAGUGGCGAAGGCGGCUGUCUGGUCUGUAACUGACGCUGA
This 725-nucleotide ribosomal RNA is filed under the name Lactiplantibacillus pentosus. RNAcentral's name for it is "bacterial SSU rRNA". It matches the Rfam family "Bacterial small subunit ribosomal RNA", at positions 59 to 749 of the family's 1533-position model. Lineage: Bacteria; Bacillati; Bacillota; Bacilli; Lactobacillales; Lactobacillaceae. The record is from RNAcentral.